GACGAGCCACACGAACGUUAUUCGGAAUUACUGGGCUUAAAGGGUGCGUAGGCGGCGCGAAAAGUUGGGUGUGAAAUACCUCGGCUUAACCGAGGAACUGCGCCCAAAACUAUCGUGCUCGAGGGAGAUAGAGGUGAGCGGAACUUACGGUGGAGCGGUGAAAUGCGUUGAUAUCGUAAGGAACACCCGUGGCGAAAGCGGCUCACUGGGUCUUCUCUGACGCUGAUGCACGAAAGCUAGGGGAGCAAAC
RNAcentral lists this ribosomal RNA (250 nucleotides) under uncultured bacterium. Its description in RNAcentral is "partial 16S ribosomal RNA". It matches the Rfam family "Bacterial small subunit ribosomal RNA", at positions 524 to 773 of the family's 1533-position model. The record is from RNAcentral.